This is a non-coding RNA of Schistosoma mattheei, 45 nucleotides long. The record is from Rfam. NCBI's taxonomy places the organism in Eukaryota, Metazoa, Platyhelminthes, Trematoda, Strigeidida, Schistosomatidae.
AUCCAGCUGACGAGUCCCAAAUAGGACGAAACACGCGUCCUCGAU